ACGACGGGAAAUCCCGCCUAAUACAACAUAAUGCCGGGAGGGGACAUCCCCUGCCGGCCAAAGGGGGCGACCCCGGUCACGGAUGGGCAUGCGGCGCAUUAGGUAGUUGGUGGGGCAACGGCCCACCAAGCCGACGAUGCGUAGGGGUUCUGAGAGGAAGGUCCCCCACAUUGGAACUGAGACACGGUCCAAACUCCUACGGGAGGCAGCAG
Molecule: ribosomal RNA, 212 nt
Filed under: uncultured bacterium
Lineage: Bacteria
Description: partial 16S ribosomal RNA
Rfam family: Bacterial small subunit ribosomal RNA
Source: RNAcentral